Molecule: ribosomal RNA, 511 nt
Filed under: uncultured Schwartzia sp.
Lineage: Bacteria; Bacillati; Bacillota; Negativicutes; Selenomonadales; Selenomonadaceae
Description: partial 16S ribosomal RNA
Source: RNAcentral
CACGUAGUUAGCCGUGGCUUCCUCGUCAGGUACCGUCUUAGUAGACGCAUUUCCUCGUCUACUCUUUCGUCCCCGACAACAGAGCUUUACGAUCCGAAGACCUUCUUCACUCACGCGGCGUUGCUCCGUCAGGCUUUCGCCCAUUGCGGAAGAUUCCCCACUGCUGCCUCCCGUAGGAGUAUGGGCCGUGUCUCAGUCCCAUUGUGGCCGUUCAUCCUCUCAGACCGGCUACUGAUCGUCGCUUUGGUGAGCCGUUACCUCACCAACUGGCUAAUCAGACGCAGGCCCAUCCUCAGGCGAUGGUUUGACCCAUCUUUAGUAUCUCUUCCAUGUAGAAAAAGUUCCUCAUUCGGUAUUAGCGGCUCUUUCGAGCCGUUGUCCCCAUCCUGAGGGCAGGUUGCCUACGCGUUACUCACCCGUUUGCCACUAAGCUAUCUACCGAAAUAAAUAGCUCCGUUCGACUUGCUAUGUAGUUAAGCACGCCGCAGCGUUCGUCCUGACGUCAGGUAAC